UGUUAGAAAUUCUUUAUUAUAAAGCAGUUGUUUGGUGUGGAAAAGAAAUUGAUGGUACUGAAUUCUGCAGGAUCAUUGAGAUUUAAGACCAUCAUUUUGGUGUACAUGCAGGGUCAGUGCAGCAAGGGUUAAAGAAAGAGAAUUGCUUUUAUAUUCAACAGAAAGAAUAAAUGAGGAGGCCUUGCAAGAAGAUAUUGUUGAAUGGAUGAUGUGUGCAGCUAAGCCAACACUGGAAUAUCAGAUGACUGAUGAUGAAAUCAAAGGCUCUUGAACUUGCCACAGCAAGAAUAUAAUUCCGACAAUGACAGAGAUAGUACAUUUGGUAGAAGUGAGAAAAUAUCUUUUUAUGAGGGUUUGGAAAAUGGUGAUAAUACCUAAAAUUUUAUAUAAUUUACAAAAAAAAAAAAAAAAAAAAAAAAAAAAAAAAAAAAACCCUCACUCUGGAGCACCCUAAAGUUUUAAAACAAAUCUCCAUCAGAAAAAUGUUAAAAAAAAAAAAGAAAUACUUAAUAAUAUCUCUUAUUUUUAUAUGUCUAUUAAAUACAUCCCUAAUGCCUUUGAAUAUCCCUGUAAUCACUAAUGUAAAUGAAUAAUAUAAUACAUAUAAUAAUUUAAUGCUUAUAAUAAAUUAUUGUAAUAUGUAUAUAAUAAUUUAAUUAAAUGUAUCUGAUAUGUCUUCUUUAUUUUGCAAUGUUAGUCUGUAUAUUAUGAUUUAUCUUUUCUGUCCUAAAAUCCGCACAACCUGUGGUCCCAAGUUUUACGGAUUUCUGGACUUCUACUGUAUAUGUACUCAAUUGUAUUAUGUUAGUUAUAUAUAUGAACUUGGAAAAUAAAGCUUCACAAGUGAAAAAUAA
Molecule: long non-coding RNA, 854 nt
Filed under: Stegodyphus dumicola
Lineage: Eukaryota; Metazoa; Arthropoda; Arachnida; Araneae; Eresidae
Description: uncharacterized LOC118184937, transcript variant X2
Source: RNAcentral